GAGUUUGAUCAUGGCUCAGGAUGAACGCUAGCGGCAGGCCUAACACAUGCAAGUCGAGGGGUAAGUCAUUUCGGUGGCUGAGACCGGCGCACGGGUGCGUAACGCGUAUGCAAUCUGCCUUUUACAGAGGGAUAGCCCAGAGAAAUUUGGAUUAAUACCUCAUAGUAUUAUGAAUCGGCAUCGAUUUAUAAUUAAAGUUUCAACGGUAAAGAUGAGCAUGCGUCCCAUUAGCUAGAUGGUAAGGUAACGGCUUACCAUGGCGACGAUGGGUAGGGGUCCUGAGAGGGAGAUCCCCCACACUGGUACUGAGACACGGACCAGACUCCUACGGGAGGCAGCAGUGAGGAAUAUUGGUCAAUGGGCGCAAGCCUGAACCAGCCAUGCCGCGUGCAGGAUGACGGUCCUAUGGAUUGUAAACUGCUUUUGUACAGGAAGAAACACUCCUACGUGUAGGAACUUGACGGUACUGUAAGAAUAAGGAUCGGCUAACUCCGUGCCAGCAG
RNAcentral lists this ribosomal RNA (503 nucleotides) under uncultured Flavobacterium sp. RNAcentral's name for it is "bacterial SSU rRNA". It matches the Rfam family "Bacterial small subunit ribosomal RNA", at positions 9 to 514 of the family's 1533-position model. The record is from RNAcentral. Lineage: Bacteria; Pseudomonadati; Bacteroidota; Flavobacteriia; Flavobacteriales; Flavobacteriaceae.